GAUCCGUACUGCUAUCAAAAUAAUUAUUACCCUCUUGCCUUGCGGCUGCAAAACAUCACAAAGUGACCGACCUGUCUUGAGACUCUUGUGCUGUCUGCCUACCUAGUUAACAAACAUUAACAUCACUUUAGAAGUGGGAAUGUCUGCCAUCUGGAGGUGGAGUUGUGGAGUGACUCUGCUGGUAGUCUGGUGGUCAUGCUGCCUCCAGGCCACAGUCCAGCCUCUUGCCCACGGUUGAGAUGAAUUACACUCUGUCUUUGGUUUGAGGGUCGCACCAAAAAAAUACCUUGUGGCAUCUUUGGUUAGCUGGUAGGUGAAGGCUUUCUGACUUUGCUAGAGAAGGAGGGCUGAGGAACUGUACACCUUGAAUAUGAAACUAAAUGUACUAACCAAAGAAAGGUACUGUCAAGUGUACCAGGCUACUGAGUAUUAACUAACAGGGAUUAGAAAUAGACCCAUGGAAAGCCGCAUUCUCAUAGAUUUGGCCAAUCACAGGAGAGUAGCUUCUUUGUAGGGUGCUUGCUUGUUGUUGCUGGUUCAGAGUGUUCUUAUGUGUUUCUAAUCACAGUGCAGCAGUUCCUUGAGCGAUUCCACUUAUUCAGAGGCAUCGGACCCUCUGGAGGAGGCUAGGACAAAAAUGUGCCAAGGCAGGGAUGAAGAAGAGGUAAAAAUCAACAAUAAUCCAUAUAGGGAAAUGGAUAAAGUAUGCUCACAUAUUUCUCGAAAGAAAUCUUACUGUGUUGAGCUUAUGCUGUCCUGCACCAGAGACAAGAAUAAUUACCAUAAAAAGAAUGCUUAACCUUUCUCAGACCCACAAGGCCCAAAACUGGAUCCCGGUUUUACCCCAUUAUUUCUUCAAUACAAUGACUGCAAAAUAGAACUCUUUCUGUGCCUCAGGUUCCUCAGCUAUAAAAUGGAAAAGUAUAUUAAUAAUAAUAAUAUUAAAAUAAUAAUGGUAAUGUAGUACUUGUUUGUAAAGCACUUUGAGAUCCUUGGUUGGAGGGCACCAUACGAGUGUCAAGUAUUAUUAUGUGGCCAAGGGGGUUAUUUAAAACUCUGGUUCCCACAGGCCAAGAAAGUUUGGCAUCAUUUUUAUUAAAGAUGAGCUGUAGAUAUCUUUACUAAACAGCCUAUAGUGUUGGCUAUGAAGAGACAAGACUAUAACAAGGCUGAUAAGACCAUAGUUUUUUAAUGGCUACCAAAAAGGCACGGGUCACAAUAACAAAUGCUGAAUUCUUUAGGGUGUAAUAUUUGACAACAUGAUUGAUCUGGGGGGGAGGGGUGAAAAACAUCUCAAAAUGCCAAUGUAAAACUGACAGCAAUAUUCACCAGCAGAAAAUGUCUUUCAUAUGGAAUGAUUUCAUGUUGAUAAGAAAAAGCAUUCAAUUUGUAGUCCUGAUUUGAACACCAGACUGUGGGGUAUAAUAGUUCUGUUCUUACAACACAUGGAAUUUUUUUCAUUUUAUUUUAUUUUGUUUUCAUAGUGCAUGUUCAUUUCUACUCACAACAUGUUCUUGGUGUAUUUCUUAUGCAAACAAUCUUCAGGCAGCAAAGAUGUCUGUUACAUCUAAACUUGAAUAAUAAAGUUUUACCACCAGUUAUCCAUGACGGCUUUGGUAUGGUUUAUAUGGAUUUAUUUUCAUCCAGGAAGCAAUAGAAGCUACAGAUCCUUGUAACAUAUCAAUGAGCUCUGAACUUAAAUAAUGAAACUGAAAUCAGGUCGCCUAUUAAAAAAAAUAUCACUACGAUGUAUUAAGCUGGACUCUUUCAACAUGUUUUUUCUUUAACCAAUCUGUUACAGAUAGAUUUUCUGCUAAAAAAUUAUACUAUAUUUUUAGAAAGAUUGAUGAUACUCUUGUUUAUUUCAAAAGCAUAUUAAGCAUCCGACAUUGAGUGUUGCAUAUUGACCUGCUAAUAAUUACCUUCCAGUAUGUAAAUACUUCCUUUUAAGAAAUAUAACUUUGAUUCUAUUCAGUAUACCCAUAUGCAUGUGAUAUGAAGAUCUUGAUAAAUAUCUCAAAAUUAAAUUCAUAUUUUAAAACC
Molecule: long non-coding RNA, 2043 nt
Filed under: Rattus norvegicus (Norway rat)
Lineage: Eukaryota; Metazoa; Chordata; Mammalia; Rodentia; Muridae
Description: long non-coding RNA NONRATT026911
Source: RNAcentral